This 465-nucleotide ribosomal RNA is filed under the name Vreelandella stevensii. RNAcentral's name for it is "partial 16S ribosomal RNA". It matches the Rfam family "Bacterial small subunit ribosomal RNA", at positions 338 to 795 of the family's 1533-position model. The record is from RNAcentral. Lineage: Bacteria; Pseudomonadati; Pseudomonadota; Gammaproteobacteria; Oceanospirillales; Halomonadaceae.
CCUACGGGGUGCUGCAGUGGGGAAUAUUGGACAAUGGGGGGAACCCUGAUCCAGCCAUGCCGCGUGUGUGAAGAAGGCCCUCGGGUUGUAAAGCACUUUCAGUGAGGAAGAACGCCUGGUGGUGAAUACCCAUCAGGAAAGACAUCACUCACAGAAGAAGCACCGGCUAACUCCGUGCCAGCAGCCGCGGUAAUACGGAGGGUGCGAGCGUUAAUCGGAAUUACUGGGCGUAAAGCGCGCGUAGGUGGCUUGAUAAGCCGGUUGUGAAAGCCCCGGGCUCAACCUGGGAACGGCAUCCGGAACUGUCAAGCUAGAGUGCAGGAGAGGAAGGUAGAAUUCCCGGUGUAGCGGUGAAAUGCGUAGAGAUCGGGAGGAAUACCAGUGGCGAAGGCGGCCUUCUGGACUGACACUGACACUGAGGUGCGAAAGCGUGGGUAGCAAACAGGAUUAGAUACCCCUGUAGUC